Molecule: long non-coding RNA, 894 nt
Organism: Rhopalosiphum padi (bird cherry-oat aphid)
Lineage: Eukaryota; Metazoa; Arthropoda; Insecta; Hemiptera; Aphididae
Exons: 2
Source: RefSeq, a predicted model, not a curated record
UGUAUUGUUAUCCAUCUCGGCUCUCGGCGGUAUAUUAUGUAAUCUGAUCUGUUCCUUUAUCAUGUAUACACUAUUUUCUUAUUUCUAUGGCCUUGUUCACACACUGAUUCAAAAGUCGUAACUUGUAACUAUUAUAAUAUAUAUAGUAAAUUAUUAUUAUAUAGUAACUUGUAACCUUGUAAAAUUGUAACGAAAAAUUUAAGGAAAUAUGAAAUAGAUUACACGCUCAGUCGGUCCUGUGUAUCGUUAUGUCAAUGUUGAAGAUAAGAAUUAAAAUUCAAAAGAUGAAACAUUAAAUUUGCCAUUUGUGAACGUACGAUUUUUGAUAGCGUAUUGUUGCUAGUUGUGUGUUAGUACUUUAUAACUUGUGUUCGGUAUGGUGCCUAACUUUUAAUUAAAAUAUUUGGUCGUUAAUGAGAGUGUUUAUAUUUUACACUACUGCAUUUAACAAGAAUCUUUCGAUGAACCAAUUAAUAAUUUUUGUUUGAAGGAGGUUUUUUAUUGUGGUUUAUAGUUUUCAAAAAUUAAUCAGUCGAAUUUGUAAAUUGCACAGCAUAAAAUUAAAAUGGAGAGCUUAAAUGAUAAUGCACAACACAAAACGGCGGAUAACAAAUAUACGUUUGAUUUUGAACAAGUCAAUUGGAGUAACAUAAAAAUUAAUCAUUCAAAUAUUAUGACAAGAAAUGCAUCAAAGCAAAUCGAAAAAGAACGAGAAAACAUAGAAAAAGAUUUAAAGUUAUUACAAGCUAUUGAAGAAGAGAAAUCAAGGCUAGAAAAUUCAAUGGUAUCAUUCAUACAGUUGAAAAAUGAACUCGAAGAAAAACUUAAGAAGUCAUCGAGUCAUUAAAAACACUGUCCAAUAUACUUAAAAUAUACAAUCUAGUAAAUAUGAAA